RNAcentral lists this ribosomal RNA (151 nucleotides) under Polystira vibex. RNAcentral describes it as "partial large subunit ribosomal RNA". The record is from RNAcentral. Lineage: Eukaryota; Metazoa; Mollusca; Gastropoda; Neogastropoda; Turridae.
UAUUAGGGCAAUGUAGAUAUUUCAUUCUUAAUUCUUUUUGAUCAAAACAUUAUUAAAUUUAGUAAAGGAGAUUAAAAGUUAUUAAAUAUUCUUAAAUUUCAAGUACUGUAGAGGAAUAGCCCCAAUUGAAAGAAAGAAAAAAUUAGAUUUU